UACGGAGGGUGCGAGCGUUAAUCGGAAUUAUUGGGCGUAAAGGGUGCGCAGGUGGUUUGAUAAGUUAUCUGUGAAAGACCUGGGCUUAACCUGGGACAGUCAGAUAAUACUGUUGAACUUGAGUAUGGGAGAGGGCAGUGGAAUUUCCGGUGUAGCGGUGAAAUGCGUAGAUAUCGGAAGGAACACCAGUGGCGAAGGCGGCUGCCUGGCCUAAUACUGACACUGAGGCACGAAAGCGUGGGGAGCAAACAGG
Molecule: ribosomal RNA, 253 nt
Filed under: uncultured bacterium
Lineage: Bacteria
Description: partial 16S ribosomal RNA
Rfam family: Bacterial small subunit ribosomal RNA
Source: RNAcentral